UAAGCACAAUUAACACAUCUCUUUAAUAUUACAUGUCCACUUUAAGCUAUUACAAGUUUCUUCUCUUAUCUCUGAACUCUUCUGACCUUCCCCUGUACACUGUACACUGAAAUCCUGCAAGACUGGGAUUAAGGGAGUGGGAUGAGCUCUAUAGCCCAGUGAGUAGAAUAACAAAAUCAGUCAUAAAAUAUGAGCACAUGGAAUGCGUCAUAACACAGACAAGCCAC
RNAcentral lists this long non-coding RNA (227 nucleotides) under Manihot esculenta (cassava). RNAcentral describes it as "long non-coding RNA (MESC_LNC010502)". The record is from RNAcentral. Lineage: Eukaryota; Viridiplantae; Streptophyta; Magnoliopsida; Malpighiales; Euphorbiaceae.